This 2019-nucleotide ribosomal RNA is filed under the name Triticum aestivum (bread wheat). Its description in RNAcentral is "partial small subunit ribosomal RNA". Lineage: Eukaryota; Viridiplantae; Streptophyta; Magnoliopsida; Poales; Poaceae. The record is from RNAcentral.
AUGGCGAUGGUGCUGGAUGCAUUUGCAUCCUACGUGGGCAACAUGCUCGCGCAGCUAGCAGCAGAUGGUGUGGGGACGAUGCUGGGCGUCUCCUGCGAGAUCGACAAGAUGGGCGACAAGCUCCGGGAUCUCAAAAACUUCUUGGCUGAUGCUGAUAGGAGGAACAUCACCGAUGAGACUGUUCAAGAGUGGGUGGGGCAGCUCAAGCGUGCCAUGUAUGAAGCUACCGACAUCCUCGACCUCUGUCAGCUCAAGGCCAUGGAGCGUGGAUCAUCUACUACUCUAGACGCGGGGUGUUUCAACCCCUUGCUCUUCUGCAUACAGAAUCCAUCCCAUGCUCAUGAGAUCGGCACCCGCAUCAAAAAGCUCAACAUGAGGCUCGACUACAUCAAAGAACAGAGUGCUACUUUCAACUUCGUCAAUCUCGGGUCUUAUGAGGAUCAUAACAACAACGCCCAUGGCUUUCGCCAUGGUAAUCCAAGUCGGGAGACAGUAGGGGACUUUGACCGGUCGGCUAUUGUUGGAGACAAGAUUGAAGAAGACACAAGAGCAUUGGUGGCCCAAAUCAUGCAGGCGGGAAAGGAUGUCAACAAUGGCAUCAUGGUGGUCGCUAUCGUAGGUGUUGGUGGCAUCGGCAAAACCACCCUCGCCCAGAAGGUCUUCAAUGACGAGGCAAUCCAAGGUGAAUUCAGCAAAAAGAUAUGGUUGAGCGUCAACCAAAACUUCAGUGAUGUUGGUCUGCUGAGAAGGGCCAUCAUCGAAGCCGGGGGAGAUGCCCAGCCACCUGAAAGUGCAAAGACCAGCCUUCAUGAAGCCCUCAAGAACACAUUGAUUGACCACAAGACCUUUCUGGUAAUUGAUGAUGUGUGGAACCAUAGAUCAUGGAAUGACGUACUGAAAAUACCCUUAGUCAAUGAUGCUGCUUCAGGCAGCCGAGUCCUUGUCACUACCAGAGAUGAAGGUGUUGCCCAAGGGGUGAAAGCUAUCUGGCCGUACCACCAUGUCGACAUAUUAGUUCCUGAAGAUGCUUGGUCAUUGCUCAAGAAUCAGGUAUGCUCAAGUGAGAUAGAUGAAGACCACAUCUAUACGCUAAAGGAUAUCGGACUGAAAAUUAUACAGAAAUGUGGUUGUUUACCAAUUGCUGUUAAAGUGAUGGGAGGAAUCUUGCGUGAAAAAGGGGGGCUACGUCGUGACUGGCAGCAGGUUUUGCAUGAUUCUAAAUGGUCAACAACUAAAAUGCCCGAUGAUCUCAACAAGAUAGUAUACUUAAGCUAUGAAUAUAUGCCUUCGUACCUGAAGCAGUGCUUUUUAUACUAUUCUUUUCUUCCUAAAAGUAGAAGUUUUCAUAUGGAGCAAGUCGUGGCAAUGUGGAUAAGCGAAGGAUUUAUUCAUGGAAGCUAUAGUGAUUUAGAAGAAUUGGGAAGAAAUUACUACAUGGAGUUGGUAUCUAGGAACCUUAUAGAGCCAGAUAAAUCGUAUGCUAAUAUAUGGUUUUGCAGCAUGCAUGAUGUUGUUCGCUCAUUUGCUCAGUAUAUGACUAAAGAUGAAGCCCUCGUAACUCAAGACAUAGACAAUGAUAUUCUUGGUAAACUCGGUUCACAAAAGUUUCUUCGAUUGUCUAUAGAAACUAACCUGUCAGUAUCAGGUGAACUUGAUUGGAAAUCUCUACAGGCGCAGCAAUCAAUGAGAACAUUGAUAUUAACAAUCGAGAUUAAGAUGAUGCCUGGUGAUUCAUUGGUUACUUUUUCUAGUUUGCGGACUCUACAUAUAGAAUCUGCAGAUGUGGCUCUAUUGCUUGCAUCAUUGCAUCAACUCAAGCACCUGAGGUAUGUAGCACUAGUAAAUGCUGAUAUAUCUGUACUUCCAUGGAACAUUGGCAAGAUGAAACUAUUGCAAUUCCUUGUCCUGGAUAAAUGUAAUAAAUUGGUGAAUCUUCCUGAUAACAUUGUGAAGCUUGGCCAACUGAGGUUACUUUCACUUCCCAAAGCAAGUAUGGUACCAAGACGGUUUAUAAUCUGA